Molecule: ribosomal RNA, 416 nt
Filed under: uncultured microorganism
Description: bacterial SSU rRNA
Rfam family: Bacterial small subunit ribosomal RNA
Source: RNAcentral
GAGUUUGAUCGUGGCUCAGGAUGAACGCUGGCGGCGUGCUUAACACAUGCAAGUCGAGCGGAGCACAUCAUUGGAAUCCUUCGGGAGGAAGAGGAUGUGGCUUAGCGGCGGACGGGUGAGUAACGCGUGGACAACCUGCCCUAUGCAGGGGAUAACAUCCGGAAACGGGUGCUAAUACCGCAUAAGCGCACAGUACCGCAUGGUACAGUGUGAAAAGCUGAGGCGGCAUAGGACGGGUCCGCGUUGGAUUAGGCAGUUGGCGGGGUAACGGCCCACCAAACCGACGAUCCAUAGCCGGCCUGAGAGGGUGGACGGCCACAUUGGGACUGAGACACGGCCCAGACUCCUACGGGACGGCAGCAGUGGGGAAUAUUGCACAAUGGGGGGAACCCUGAUGCAGCGACGCCGCGUGGUGA